GGGCCCGCACAAGCAGUGGAGCAUGUGGUUUAAUUCGAAGCAACGCGCAGAACCUUACCACCACUUGACAUUACCAUCGCGAUUUCCGGAGACGGAUUUCUUCAGUUCGGCUGGAUGGAUAACAGGUGCUGCAUGGCUGUCGUCAGCUCGUGUCGUGAGAUGUUGGUUAAGUCCCGCAACGAGCGCAACCCUCGCCUUUAGUUGCCAGCAGUUCGGCUGGGCACUCUAGAGGAACCGCCGGUGAUAAGCCGGAGGAAGGUGGGAUGACGUCAAGUCCUCAUGGCCCUUACGUGGUGGGCUACACACGUGCUACAAUGGCAGUGACAAUGGGAAGC
RNAcentral lists this ribosomal RNA (335 nucleotides) under uncultured bacterium. RNAcentral's name for it is "bacterial SSU rRNA". It matches the Rfam family "Bacterial small subunit ribosomal RNA", at positions 917 to 1250 of the family's 1533-position model. The record is from RNAcentral.